AGUCCGGGCAUCGACUAAUCAGGCUACCGGUUUUACGGUUGGCAGAGCCAAAAAAACCGGGAAUCAAAACUGUGCUAGCGAAAAUGAAUCCCGCCUCAGGGAGUCCUUUACGCGAAAUUAAAUCUGAGGAUACACUCGUAGAAGCUUUUGCUGGUUUGCCUGCGGACAGGGGUUCGACUCCCCUCGCCUCCACCA
RNAcentral lists this transfer-messenger RNA (195 nucleotides) under Clostridium sp. RNAcentral describes it as "partial transfer-messenger RNA". It matches the Rfam family "transfer-messenger RNA", at positions 176 to 374 of the family's 374-position model. From Rfam's summary of the family: Bacterial tmRNA, also known as 10Sa RNA or SsrA, is named for its dual tRNA and mRNA-like properties. Its role is to liberate the mRNA from a stalled ribosome. To accomplish this part of the tmRNA is used as a reading frame that ends in a translation stop signal. Lineage: Bacteria; Bacillati; Bacillota; Clostridia; Eubacteriales; Clostridiaceae. The record is from RNAcentral.